Molecule: non-coding RNA, 117 nt
Organism: Pelobates cultripes (western spadefoot toad)
Lineage: Eukaryota; Metazoa; Chordata; Amphibia; Anura; Pelobatidae
Source: the annotation of a GenBank genome assembly
GUGAGCGUAGCCAAGCUUUAUUUAUUUCACUCUCUCUCUCUCUCUCUCUCUCUCUAUAUAUAUAUAUAUAGAGAGAGAGAGAGAGUGAAAUAAAUAAAACUUGGCUACAUCGUAGCU